CCUACGGGUGGCAGCAGUGAGGAAUAUUGGUCAAUGGUCGGGAGACUGAACCAGCCAAGUCGCGUGCGGGAGGAAGGUACAGCGUAUCGUAAACCUCUUUUGCCAGGGAACAACGCCUUGCACUCGUCCCCGGCUGCGUGUACCUGACGAAUAAGCACCGGCUAACUCCGUGCCAGCAGCCGCGGUAAUACGGAGGACGCGAGCGUUAUCCGGAUUCAUUGGGCUUAAAGGGUGCGGAGGCGGGCUUUUAAGUCAGCGGUAAAAUGGCGCGGCUCAACCUCGCCCCGCCGUUGAAACUGGGUGUCUUGAGUGGACAAGAGGCAGGCGGAAUUCGUGGUGUAGCGGUGAAAUGCAUAGAUAUCACGCGGAACUCCGAUUGCGAAGGCAGCGUGCCGGGGCGCGACUGACGCUGAGGCUCGAAGGCGUGGGUAUCAAACAGGAUUAGAUACCCGUGUAGUC
RNAcentral lists this ribosomal RNA (459 nucleotides) under uncultured bacterium. RNAcentral describes it as "partial 16S ribosomal RNA". It matches the Rfam family "Bacterial small subunit ribosomal RNA", at positions 338 to 795 of the family's 1533-position model. The record is from RNAcentral.